GAGCGAACUGAUUAGAAGCUUGCUUCUAUGACGUUAGCGGCGGACGGGUGAGUAACACGUGGGCAACCUGCCUGUAAGACUGGGAUAACUUCGGGAAACCGAAGCUAAUACCGGAUAGGAUCUUCUCCUUCAUGGGAGAUGAUUGAAAGAUGGUUUCGGCUAUCACUUACAGAUGGGCCCGCGGUGCAUUAGCUAGUUGGUGAGGUAACGGCUCACCAAGGCAACGAUGCAUAGCCGACCUGAGAGGGUGAUCGGCCACACUGGGACUGAGACACGGCCCAGACUCCUACGGGAGGCAGCAGUAGGGAAUCUUCCGCAAUGGACGAAAGUCUGACGGAGCAACGCCGCGUGAGUGAUGAAGGCUUUCGGGUCGUAAAACUCUGUUGUUAGGGAAGAACAAGUACGAGAGUAACUGCUCGUACCUUGACGGUACCUAACCAGAAAGCCACGGCUAACUACGUGCCAGCAGCCGCGGUAAUACGUAGGUGGCAAGCGUUAUCCGGAAUUAUUGGGCGUAAAGCGCGCGCAGGCGGUUUCUUAAGUCUGAUGUGAAAGCCCACGGCUCAACCGUGGAGGGUCAUUGGAAACUGGGGAACUUGAGUGCAGAAGAGAAAAGCGGAAUUCCACGUGUAGCGGUGAAAUGCGUAGAGAUGUGGAGGAACACCAGUGGCGAAGGCGGCUUUUUUGGUCUGUAAC
RNAcentral lists this ribosomal RNA (696 nucleotides) under Bacillus sp. (in: firmicutes). RNAcentral describes it as "bacterial SSU rRNA". It matches the Rfam family "Bacterial small subunit ribosomal RNA", at positions 64 to 740 of the family's 1533-position model. Lineage: Bacteria; Bacillati; Bacillota; Bacilli; Caryophanales; Bacillaceae. The record is from RNAcentral.